Molecule: ribosomal RNA, 460 nt
Filed under: uncultured bacterium
Lineage: Bacteria
Description: partial 16S ribosomal RNA
Rfam family: Bacterial small subunit ribosomal RNA
Source: RNAcentral
CCUACGGGUGGCAGCAGUGGGGAAUAUUGGUCAAUGGGCGCGAGCCUGAACCAGCCAAGUAGCGUGAAGGAUGACUGCCCUACGGGUUGUAAACUUCUUUUAUAAAGGAAUAAAGUGAGGCACGUGUGCCUUUUUGUAUGUACUUUAUGAAUAAGGAUCGGCUAACUCCGUGCCAGCAGCCGCGGUAAUACGGAGGAUCCGAGCGUUAUCCGGAUUUAUUGGGUUUAAAGGGAGCGUAGAUGGGUCGUUAAGUCAGUUGUGAAAGUUUGCGGCUCAACCGUAAAAUUGCAGUUGAUACUGGCAGUCUUGAGUACAGUUGAGGUAGGCGGAAUUCGUGGUGUAGCGGUGAAAUGCUUAGAUAUCACGAAGAACUCCGAUGGCGAAGGCAGCCUACUAAACUGCCACUGACAUUGAGGCUCGAAAGUGUGGGUAUCAAACAGGAUUAGAUACCCCUGUAGUC